Molecule: long non-coding RNA, 1158 nt
Organism: Gasterosteus aculeatus aculeatus (three-spined stickleback)
Lineage: Eukaryota; Metazoa; Chordata; Actinopteri; Perciformes; Gasterosteidae
Source: Ensembl
CUCGGUUUCUAUUUUCUAAACAUGGCAACUCUGAUCGCCCCCAGUCAAACCCGCGAAAUAAGGGGUUUCCAAAACUCCUCCUUAAGUUUGAUGAAUUGAGGGAAUAAAUGGAAUCAUCAUGGACACCGGCAGCUUUCCGUAGAUGCGCCCGGCACCCUGUUUAUCCCCAUCCAAAGGAAGGGGGGUCGGCUCGCCGCAUGAAAUGCUCAGUUCCAUGCGAUCCCAGCCUGAUUUAUAAAUUGGAUCACGAGGACGAUGUCGCUUCAAGCUGCAUCCCCGACAGCCACGUCUGCUUUUUUUUUUUUUUGAAGCGAUUUACAACCAGCAGUGACGGCCUGAACCGAUGAAAUGGCUGAUGGCAGGUUGUUGUCGGGGCGGUCAGGGCUGCCUGCGUCUCCACAGCGGGGAAAAAAGCAGAGACAAGAAGACUUGACAUGCAGUACCAUAGGAAGUCUGUAUGGAUGGAAAUCUCAGAGGUUCAGUGUGGCUCGCUCUCCUCCUUCACGUCUCCAGAUGUGGUGUAAAAGGAAGCUGGCCGGGGACGCUGACAUUUUUGGCGUACACACGUACACAUUAAUGCUAUGUAAUACCCCCCCCCCCUCCCACCCUGCCAUGAUGAGAGAUUUUAAGCUGGCUGAUUCAUGAGCAGUGGCCCUCUGAAUGGACACGGAGCUACCGGUGACAGAGGGAACCACUGCACAGCUUGUGGUUGUUGUUUUCUUUUUUUUUGACAUUUUUAUGUAAAUAUAUUUUUUUCUAUUUUAUUUUUUAAUAAACAUUUUAAAACUGCCCCUCUGGAUUUUGGUUUGUUGAUGCAUCACAUGGGGAUUUGAUGGUUCAUUAACAUAAACAUUUGACCACACUGAAGUAAUCAAAAAAAGUUUUUAUGGCAAAUAUUAAAGUCAACUUCUACAUACUAGAGAAGUGGUGCAAUUUAAAUAACGGAAAAACUAAAGUUAAUAAUCAGGGAUGUAAAGUAGCAAAAGUACAAAAUAAUGCUGUUCACAAUACAAAGUUAAAAUAAUGAACCAACAUGUGGAUCUGAUUGGAGCAGAAAACAAGAUGUAAAAAAGGGGGUGAAGAAAAUCAAAGAAAAGAUGAGAAAAAGAACUUAUAACAAGUUCAAUUGAUAAGCCUCACAGUUAUUAAUAUAAAUAU